AUUGAACGCUGGCGGCAUGCCUUACACAUGCAAGUCGAACGGUAACGGGCCUUCGGGUGCCGACGAGUGGCGAACGGGUGCGUAAUACAUCGGAACGUGCCCGAUCGUGGGGGAUAACGAGGCGAAAGCUUUGCUAAUACCGCAUACGAUCUACGGAUGAAAGCAGGGGACCGCAAGGCCUUGCGCGGACGGAGCGGCCGAUGGCAGAUUAGGUAGUUGGUGGGAUAAAAGCUUACCAAGCCGACGAUCUGUAGCUGGUCUGAGAGGAUGAUCAGCCACACUGGGCCUGAGACACGGCCCAGACUCCUACGGGAGGCAGCAGUGGGGAAUUUUGGACAAAGGGCGCAAGCCUGAUCAGCCAUGCCGCGUGCAGGAUGAAGGCCUUCGGGUUGUAAACUGCUUUUGUACGGAACGAAAAGCCUUCUUUUAAUACAGGAGGGUCAUGACGGUACCGUAAGAAUAAGCACCGGCUAACUACGUG
RNAcentral lists this ribosomal RNA (481 nucleotides) under uncultured bacterium. Its description in RNAcentral is "partial 16S ribosomal RNA". It matches the Rfam family "Bacterial small subunit ribosomal RNA", at positions 30 to 507 of the family's 1533-position model. The record is from RNAcentral.